This 894-nucleotide ribosomal RNA is filed under the name uncultured Gemmatimonadota bacterium. RNAcentral describes it as "bacterial SSU rRNA". It matches the Rfam family "Bacterial small subunit ribosomal RNA", at positions 28 to 897 of the family's 1533-position model. Lineage: Bacteria; Pseudomonadati; Gemmatimonadota. The record is from RNAcentral.
GACGAACGCUGGCGGCGUGCCUAACACAUGCAAGUCGAACGAGUCCACCUCUUUCGGGGGGUGAGGCGAGUGGCGGACGGGUGAGUAACACGUGAGCAACCUGUCCCUGUGCGGGGGACAACCCGGGGAAACUCGGGCUAAUACCGCAUGGGCGGGACCUUCGAGUGAAGGACCUGGGAAAGGCGGCCUCUUUACAAUGCUGUCGUGCAGGGAGGGGCUCGCGGGCUAUCAGCUAGUUGGUGAGGUAACGGCUCACCAAGGCAGCGACGGCUAGGGGGUCUGAGAGGACGACCCCCCACAUUGGAACUGAGACACGGUCCAGACUCCUACGGGAGGCAGCAGUGGGGAAUUUUGGGCAAUGGCCGAAAGGCUGACCCAGCGACGCCGCGUGCGGGAGGACGCCCCUCGGGGUGUAAACCGCUGUCAGGGGGGAAGAAACCUUCAGGUGGGAAUACUGCCUGGAAUUGACGGUACCCUCAAAGGAAGCACCGGCUAACUCUGUGCCAGCAGCCGCGGUAAUACAGAGGGUGCAAGCGUUGUUCGGAAUCACUGGGCGUAAAGCGCGCGCAGGCGGGCUGACAAGUGGGGAGUGAAAUUCCGGGGCUCAACUCCGGAACUGCUUUCCAAACUGUCAGUCUAGGGACCGGUAGGGGCUGGUAGAAUUCCCGGUGUAGCGGUGGAAUGCGUAGAUAUCGGGAAGAAUACCCGUGGCGAAGGCGGCCAGCUGGGCCGGGUCCGACGCUGAGGCGCGAAAGCGUGGGGAGCAAACAGGAUUAGAUACCCUGGUAGUCCACGCCGUAAACGAUGGGCACUAGGCGCUGGGGGGAGCGACCCCGUCAGUGCCGUAGCCAACGCGAUAAGUGCCCCGCCUGGGGAGUACGGCCGCAAGGCUGA